Molecule: long non-coding RNA, 231 nt
Filed under: Mytilus galloprovincialis (Mediterranean mussel)
Lineage: Eukaryota; Metazoa; Mollusca; Bivalvia; Mytilida; Mytilidae
Source: RNAcentral
CUUCUGCUGUUGUUUUUUUCUAUGGUCGGGUUGUUGUCUCUUUGGCACAUUCCCCAUUUCCAUUCUCAAUUCGACUGUUUCAAGUUGUGGUAUGCAUAAAAAAAACUGUCCAACAGCAUUCGUCAUUCUACUCGUAAAGGCAUUUGUUUCUAAGAUCGGUAUGGUGUAUACCAUUAUGCCAGAACUCAAAUGAAGCAGAAAGCUGAUGUAACUUAUCUGCUUUACUCGAUC